GCCUGGUUAGCUCAAUCGGUAGAGCGUGAGACUCUUAAUCUCAAGGCUGCGGGUUCGAGGCCCCGCAUCGGGCU
This 74-nucleotide transfer RNA is filed under the name Coccidioides immitis H538.4. RNAcentral's name for it is "tRNA-Lys (CTT) (tRNA-Lys-CTT-2-1)". It matches the Rfam family "tRNA". Rfam says of the family: Transfer RNA (tRNA) molecules are approximately 80 nucleotides in length. Their secondary structure includes four short double-helical elements and three loops (D, anti-codon, and T loops). Further hydrogen bonds mediate the characteristic L-shaped molecular structure. tRNAs have two regions of fundamental functional importance: the anti-codon, which is responsible for specific mRNA codon recognition, and the 3' end, to which the tRNAs corresponding amino acid is attached (by aminoacyl-tRNA synthetases). tRNAs cope with the degeneracy of the genetic code in two manners: having more than one tRNA (with a specific anti-codon) for a particular amino acid; and 'wobble' base-pairing, i.e. permitting non-standard base-pairing at the 3rd anti-codon position. The record is from Rfam by way of RNAcentral. Lineage: Eukaryota; Fungi; Ascomycota; Eurotiomycetes; Onygenales; Onygenaceae.